This 106-nucleotide microRNA precursor is filed under the name Haemonchus contortus (barber pole worm). RNAcentral describes it as "microRNA hco-mir-59 precursor". Its record names the gene hco-mir-59. Lineage: Eukaryota; Metazoa; Nematoda; Chromadorea; Rhabditida; Trichostrongylidae. The record is from miRBase by way of RNAcentral.
CACCAGCCAGACCUGCUCGGGUUCGUCAAGAGUACGAUCCGGAACUGACUUCGGAUUUCGAAUCGUCACUCUUGAUGCUCUCGUGUACAUCUGAGCCCUGCCUAGU